Molecule: unclassified non-coding RNA, 421 nt
Filed under: plant metagenome
Description: partial contains 5.8S ribosomal RNA, internal transcribed spacer 2, and large subunit ribosomal RNA
Rfam family: 5.8S ribosomal RNA (bases 1-104)
Source: RNAcentral
AAGUGCGAUAAGCAAUGCGAAUUGCAGAAUUCCGCGAGUCAUCAGAUCUUUGAACGCAAAUGGCGCCGGAGGGAUAUCCUUCUGGCAUGUCUGUUUCAGUGUCUGAGAGGUUUCACCAACAUCUUAAUGUGAUUGACAGCAGCAGCAGCAGCAAGCAAUUGUUGUGGUUGGUGUUGUCUCUCAUGAAAGAUGCGCGAGUGGAUCUUUCGGUCCAAUGAAGUGGUCACAUCACUCGUAUGUGAUUUCAUUGGGAGCACCGAAUUAUCCGCCAUGCUCGCGGUGUCAUCAUAUAAUAUAUGACGAAAGCAAGAAAGAAAGAAAGAAAGAGUUUCUUUCUUCUUCUUCUUCUUCUUUGGUUGUAUUUUUUUCUCUCUCUACACCCUGCAUCUGAGAUAGGCAAGAUCACCCGCUGAACUUAAGC